RNAcentral lists this ribosomal RNA (497 nucleotides) under uncultured bacterium. Its description in RNAcentral is "partial 16S ribosomal RNA". It matches the Rfam family "Bacterial small subunit ribosomal RNA", at positions 28 to 523 of the family's 1533-position model. The record is from RNAcentral.
GAUGAACGCUGGCGGCGUGCUUAACACAUGCAAGUCGAACGAAGCACUCUAUUUGAUUUUCUUCGGAAUUGAAGAUUUUGUGACUGAGUGGCGGACGGGUGAGUAACGCGUGGGUAACCUGCCUCAUACAGGGGGAUAACAGUUGGAAACGACUGCUAAUACCGCAUAAGCGCACGGUAUUGCAUGAUACAGUGUGAAAAACUCCGGUGGUAUGAGAUGGACCCGCGUCUGAUUAGCUAGUUGGUGGGGUAACGGCCUACCAAGGUGACGAUCAGUAGCCGACCUGAGAGGGUGACCGGCCACAUUGGGACUGAGACACGGCCCAAACUCCUACGGGAGGCAGCAGUGGGGAAUAUUGCACAAUGGGGGAAACCCUGAUGCAGCGACGCCGCGUGAACGAAGAAGUAUUUCGGUAUGUAAAGUUCUAUCAGCAGGGAAGAUAAUGACGGUACCUGACUAAGAAGCACCGGCUAAAUACGUGCCAGCAGCCGCCGUAA